RNAcentral lists this ribosomal RNA (228 nucleotides) under uncultured bacterium. RNAcentral's name for it is "partial 16S ribosomal RNA". It matches the Rfam family "Bacterial small subunit ribosomal RNA", at positions 335 to 558 of the family's 1533-position model. The record is from RNAcentral.
ACUCCUACGGGAGGCAGCAGUGAGGAAUAUUGGUCAAUGGGCGCAAGCCUGAACCAGCCAUGUCGCGUGCAGGAAGACUGCCUAUGGGCUUGUAAACUGCUUUUAUUACGGGAAGAAUGUGACCUACGUGUAGGUUUUUGCCCGGUACCGUAUGAAUAAGCAUCGGCUAACUCCGUGCCAGCAGCCGCGGUAAUACGGAGGAUGCAAGCGUUAUCCGGAUUCAUUGGG